CAGGAAAGUUUAAACAAAACUUUUUAUUUUUUUUUUAAAAAAGAAAGACGCAAAGGAAUGGCCACCGCGAUCGCUUCUGUCUCUCUGGCUCUCCACCCAAAGCCCGAAGCCUUCCCCUUCUCUUCACUUCCUCCUACUCCUACUCCUUCUCCUUCUCCUUCUUCCAGGGGUAGCGGUAGCAGCAACUAUAGAUACAGGAGAAAUCUCUUCUUUUCUCCUUCUAAAUCGAAGCAUUCCAUCUCCAUCUCUCGCUUAGCUUCGAAUCCACCUCCGUCGACACCGGAGAAGCCGCCUCAGAUCGAGCUCGAAUUCGUCGGGCCGAAAGUGGGAGUGGAUGGGUCAUAUCCGGUGGACAGGGCGUCGGCGAUCAGUGGAGAGAAGCUUCUUCGCGACAUUAUGCUCGACAACCAGAUCGAGCUCUACGCCGCAUACGGGAAGGUAAUGAACUGUGGAGGAGGCGGAAGCUGUGGAACAUGCAUUGUGGAGAUUAUUGAUGGCAUGGAACUUCUGAAUGAGAAAACGAACACUGAAAAACGGUACUUGAAGAAGAAACCCGAAUCUUGGAGGCUCGCUUGUCAAACUAUUGUAGGAAAUAAGGAAAAUGCUGGGAAGGUUACCGUUCAGCGGAUGCCCCAGUGGAAGAAGUGAUCUGCAAUUCGUUUCAAAUUUCGUAAGUAGGGGAAGACCAAUCGACUCUCUUAACCUCUCAUACAUAUCUUGAGGGUGGGAUCUAUCUUCAGCAUUAAAUGGAUGCACUUGGUUCUUGUUCUUGAUCCAACUCCAACCAGAUCGAGGGAGUGCAAUUGGCGGCCUAAUUAGAGUUGGCCAGUGGAGGCAGCUGACUGAGGUUGCUCCCGAGGGUGUACUAAUUGAAGGCGAUGAGACGUUGGCGGCGAUCAGCGCGUUCCAGGAGACUAUGUCUCGUUUCGGAUUUUGUCGAACAGCUUGCGGGCGUCUGAGAGGCUGCUGCAUCAGAAGCGAGGACGUUUGUUCCAAGAUUACAUGUCUGCGGUGGCUCCGAAUUUUAUCAAGCGAGUGUGUGUUUUCGCUACCGAGCAUAGAGCUAGAGUUUAGAAUGGUCUGGUCCAAAGUAUUGUAGACCCCCAUUCUAAGAGAGGUUACUCUUGAUGGUCUGUAAACCCAUGAUAACCGGAUCGACGCCUUUUGCCUUUGCUAA
This is an RNA transcript of Phoenix dactylifera (date palm), 1177 nucleotides long. It is a transcript of the gene named 2Fe-2S ferredoxin-like superfamily protein, with no coding region annotated. The record is from RefSeq and is a predicted model, not a curated record. NCBI's taxonomy places the organism in Eukaryota, Viridiplantae, Streptophyta, Magnoliopsida, Arecales, Arecaceae.